Neopsephotus bourkii (Bourke's parrot) is the source of this 1789-nucleotide long non-coding RNA. RefSeq lists it as uncharacterized. The record is from RefSeq and is a predicted model, not a curated record. The transcript is spliced from 3 exons. Lineage: Eukaryota; Metazoa; Chordata; Aves; Psittaciformes; Psittacidae.
CAACUUAAAAUAAAUAAAUUGGAAUUGCCAAAAAGUGAAAGAAGGGACGUUUAUGAGAGCAGAGUUAAACAUACACUAGGAAGUUUGAAGCUAACUAUGUCUGAAAGAGGACAAGACAUCAAAAAAGAGUAUCCACAGUGUGAUUACACAGGAGCACACAUUCUCAGCUGUAAGCAUGUGAAUUAUUUUAUUACUGCAUUAAUGAAUUGGAAAACAUUUAUUGCUUUCAAUAUUGUCAAUUGUGAUAAUAGCAAGGUGUACUUAAGCAUGCUUGUUUGUAUUUAACUUGAAUCUACAGAAACCAGGACACCUGGAAAAAGGAAGCAGGGCCUGCUGUGGGCAAGUAAGGUAUUGAAAGGAGACAAAAGCAGAGGCUACUUUGAGCAUUUCUAACCAACCAAAUACAGUGGGGGUGGGGAGGGCGGAGGGAGGGGAAGAGUUAGAAAGACACCCACUUGUCUGUGUGGGUCUGUUUGUGUCCAAAAUGGGACAGGGGGACCCUGAUGGUCACUUCCUGUUUUGCAGGGAAGGACAGUUUCCAUCCCAGCUACAAAUUCAAUUUCCAUUUUAUUUCAAAAUUAGAGCCAUUAAUCAGGGCUCCAUAAACAAUGGUAUUGAUUACUCAGUAGCAAACGUGCAAUUCCUUUGAAAAGUUAAGGAGGGAAGAUUAACAACUAUUUCCUACAUAAGCUACUUCAAGAAGGAAGCAUAAGCAGAAUGACUGAAAUAGCCAGCUGAGCAUUUACCUUAUAUCAAUACGUAUUAUAAAAGCAUGAUUGGGCAAAAGUUCAUAUUUUCAGUAAAAAAGGUGGAAAAUCUCACUUAGGAAUGAAUUUAGUGAAUUAAGACCUGGAGAAAUUAAAGAAUCCCAGGAGGACUUUUUGGAUGAUUCAUCUCUUCAUAGUAAGAUGACAAUAGUAAUUACAUAUUUGCUAUGGCACAUAAUAGAAUAAUCUAGCAAUAUUGAUCUCUAAUAACUUUCAUGAAAGAUAUGAUUGCUUUGCUAAUAGUCACUUUUUUUGUAUGAAUUUACUAAUAUAAAUUAACAUAUGAAUACUGGAAAAACAAAAAGACAUGACAGUAAAUGUAGGAUAAAUCCCAGCAGCAUUGAGAGUUUCAUUAUAAGACAGGGACAGAGGUAUUAGCAACAAAAAUAAGACAGUAGUAUUUUUAUUGCUAAUAACUCAGUUCUUAAAAUGCUCUGAACCAGCACAUUUGUUUUUAUGGCCAUGUCAUGUGUCACCUGGAUUCCCAAUCUAAUUCAACAUGACACUAAGUGCAGCAGAUACUUGGGAUUACAGAAGUGCAACAUGACUGUAGCAGCAUACAGCCAGAAAAAGAAAGUCAUUAGGGACACCACUAAAAAAAAAACCCUGAAAAUGGGGAUUUAUAGAGCUGGUUUCCAACCUGUUCCUGAAAGACUGGCCACUGAGAGCAUCUGAAAUAGUUAUGCUUUUACCCUUUCCCCAAAGUUCCAUGAGGCAAUGUAUCACAAGUAGUUACUGCUCUGCAUUUUAUAGUCUUUAUAGGGUUAGUUUUAAGAGAUUUCAUGUCACAAGGUAUGGUUGGUUGUGGCUCACAGAGGAAACAGUCUCCUGAAAAUAAUAAGCCAAAGACACAUUCAUUCAGCGGCUGCAGUGAAUAACUGAGGUCUGAGCUAUGACCUCUCUGAAAUGGAGAACAUCAUAAAUGCACCUGCAGGGACUGGAUUGAGACCUGAAGCUUUUGUCACCCAAAAGAGUAGGUAGCACUCAAGACACCUUGCAUUGGUGAGAUUUUCUUUUUUUUU